UCGGGGUUAGUGGGAGAAACAGAAGAGAUUUGAGGAUAAUGACUUUUAUUUUGAAAAAUUCUUUUUUUUAGAAAAAUUGACGUUGUUUCCUUCUCCUCUCCCGUCUUUUCUUUUUCUUUUCCAAACGCAAUAUUUUUCUCAUUUUGUUAUUCGUUCUGACAAAAUCGUGUUUCCUUGUCGCGGUAUUUCUGAUUGUGCUCUCUUUGUUUGGUAAGUGGUGGUGAGUUUUUCUGAGGAGGGAGCCUCUGUUAUUCUUUUUGGCCUUGUUGAAUUCUCUUUA
RNAcentral lists this long non-coding RNA (280 nucleotides) under Gossypium barbadense (sea-island cotton). Its description in RNAcentral is "long non-coding RNA (GBAR_LNC007856)". Lineage: Eukaryota; Viridiplantae; Streptophyta; Magnoliopsida; Malvales; Malvaceae. The record is from RNAcentral.